GAUGAACGCUGGCGGCGUGCCUAAUACAUGCAAGUCGAACGAAACUUCUUUAUCACCGAGUGCUUGCACUCACCGAUAAAGAGUUGAGUGGCGAACGGGUGAGUAACACGUGGGCAACCUGCACAAAAGAGGGGGAUAACACUUGGAAACAGGUGCUAAUACCGCAUAACCAUAGUUACCGCAUGGUAACUAUGUAAAAGGUGGCUAUACUACCGCUUUUGGAUGGGCCCGCGGCGCAUUAGCUAGUUGGUAGGGUAAAGGCUUACCAAGGCAAUGAUGCGUAGCCGAAUUGAGAGGUUGAUCGGCCACAUUGGGACUGAGACACGGCCCAAACUCCUACGGGAGGCAGCAGUAGGGAAUCUUCCACAAUGGGCGAAAGCCUGAUGGAGCAACGCCGCGUGGGUGAAGAAGGUCUUCGGAUCGUAAAACCCUGUUGUUAGAGAAGAAAGUGCGUGAGAGUAACUGUUCACGUUUCGACGGUAUCUAACCAGAAAGCCACGGCUAACUACGUG
RNAcentral lists this ribosomal RNA (512 nucleotides) under uncultured bacterium. RNAcentral describes it as "partial 16S ribosomal RNA". It matches the Rfam family "Bacterial small subunit ribosomal RNA", at positions 28 to 507 of the family's 1533-position model. The record is from RNAcentral.